Long non-coding RNA from Amaranthus tricolor (Joseph's coat), 1916 nucleotides. RefSeq lists it as uncharacterized. The transcript is spliced from 2 exons. NCBI's taxonomy places the organism in Eukaryota, Viridiplantae, Streptophyta, Magnoliopsida, Caryophyllales, Amaranthaceae. The record is from RefSeq and is a predicted model, not a curated record.
UGAGAAGCUUAACGAAUUUGCAAUUUUCGUGUCAUUUUAACUGGGAAUUUCACUAAUCAUAUGUUUUGAUGAAGAGUUGUGCAGCCGGUUGAAGAUGUGAACUAACCUUUUAUUUCUUUGUGAAAUUAUAAGAUUCUUUAUAAUCAAUUUAUUAUUUUUUUAUAUGCUUUGAUUUGGGUUUUUGAUUUAGGUUUCUUAUUUUAUUUAUGAUGAUGUGUUUCGAAAGGUUGUUGUUAAUCAACCGUAAGAAUCAAGCAUAUUUAUUAACCGAAAGAAUCAAGCAGAUUUUCGUCACCUUAUGCUCGUGUCUGCUUUAACAAUGAACAAAUUAGGUUUUCGUAAGUUUUUCUGGGUUUUGGUUUUCAAUGAAGUCAAUUGAAAUUAGGGUUUCGUAAGUUUUUCUAAUAAGGCUGAAAUUGGAAGUGCCUCACAAGAAUUUUAGUUUUAUUGUUAGGUAUAUGAUACAUGGUGAAUUUAAUGGAGACGUUAGGUGCUCAAUGUAGUGUAAUUCUGUAAUACAACAAUUAUGAUCAUGAAUAGUAUCUUCUAGAUGAAAAUACACAGUUUUCGUAGAAGAAUCUUUGCAAUUGGUUGCUCAAUUGUUUAAAAGUUUCUGAUUAUUUUUCUAAUUAAUCUAAAUCCAUGCUCAUUGUUGCUACUCUUCAUCAAACUAAACCAUUGAAAUUAUUGAACAAUUAUAUAAUACCAUUAUGCUUCAAUAAUUAGGUUACAUUUUUUGAAUUUUGUUUGUUCCGUUGAUUUGUUGAAUUUGUUACUCGUUUUUUUGUUUUUAUUUUAUAAAAUGACUUUUUUUUAUUCUAAAUAUGAGUUGCUGCUUGAGACCUUUAUUAUAGUUUUUUAUGAGUGGGAUACAUUGGGUAAGAUGAUGGUGAUGAUAAAGACUAUUUUUUAUGCACUUUCUAUAGAUGUUGUGCACAUAUGUUGUUAUUAAGUGGUUGUGCAACAAAUGUUGUUGUCGACAGGAGCUGUCAUUAUGUGGUUGUGCAACAGAUGUUGUCGUUGCUGCUUUUGAGCUACUACUAAAGCAGACUCAUGUUGCUGAUGAAGUUGUUCUGAAAAUUAUGGUCGUGAGCUUUAGAUUGUGAAACGUAAAUUAGAUUAAUCGUCAUUUUUAGGAUAAUCGAUGUUUAGGGUUUUUGUUUCUUUGGAUUUGUUUUCUACUUUCUUUUUUAUUAGAACCCAAUUAUUUGCGUAUCAUUGUUCUUUUCUUUCCUCUUUUUUUGUUGGUAGGCUGAUGAGCAUUGAUUUCUUUACGUAGUUUCUUCAUUUCGUUUUAUUUUUAAUAUACUACUUCAUUGUUUUUCUACAGACCUCCAAUUACAGUGCUACUUCGCCGUGCUAAGCUGAACCAAUUUCCAAUGGUUCAGAGAACACUAAACAAGAAAACAAUGCUGAGCCCAUGAUAAAGGAUAGCAACAAAAGCUCAUGACAAGAAUCCAGCAACAGCAGGUCGUGUAACAGCUCCAACAGGAUGCAUAAUCUCAGCAUCAGCAGAGAUAGGACGCAUAAAUAUUUUCCAGUCGCCCUAGGAACUGACAUAGAGCCAAGCAGGGUGAUAGAGGAAGCUGAGUCAUGGACUGGAAGUGACACCCUACCAUGUGGAGAUGACAAGGAGCUCAAGUAGGACUAGAGCAAGUUGCAUGAGCCACAAACUAAAGGAUCUAAAACAAUCCUGCAGGUCGAAGAAAUCCUUGCGGGUUGAAGAGAAGUCCCUGCAGGAAGAGAAUAAGACCCUGCUGGAUGAAAGAAUCAGGACGAUGCGUCCUGAAAAACGCGUGUACUAAUCUUUUCUUGUCUUUUUUUUUUUUUAGUUUUGUUAACCUGAUGUUCAGGUUCCCUAUUUCCCCCCCUUUUGUUCCCCCUAAAAAUCUAUAAAUAACGUGGUUUUCCUGUUC